Molecule: transfer RNA, 73 nt
Filed under: Mirabilis himalaica
Lineage: Eukaryota; Viridiplantae; Streptophyta; Magnoliopsida; Caryophyllales; Nyctaginaceae
Description: tRNA-Gln
Rfam family: tRNA
About the family: Transfer RNA (tRNA) molecules are approximately 80 nucleotides in length. Their secondary structure includes four short double-helical elements and three loops (D, anti-codon, and T loops).
Source: RNAcentral
UGGGGCGUGGCCAAGUGGUAAGGCAUCGGGUUUUGAUCCCGCUAUUCGGAGGUUCGAAUCCUUCCGUCCCAGA